RNAcentral lists this ribosomal RNA (468 nucleotides) under uncultured bacterium. RNAcentral's name for it is "partial 16S ribosomal RNA". It matches the Rfam family "Bacterial small subunit ribosomal RNA", at positions 28 to 507 of the family's 1533-position model. The record is from RNAcentral.
GACGAACGCUGGCGGCGUGCUUAACACAUGCAAGUCGAACGGAAAGGCCCUGCUUUUGUGUGUUUCUCGAGUGGCGAGCGCGUGAGUAACACGUGAGUAUAAUGCCCUUGUCUUUGUGAUAACUUCUGGAAACUGGGGCUAAUACAGGAUAGAAGCUCCUGCUGCGUGGGGUGGAAUGGAAAAUUACGGCGGUUGGGGAUGGACUCGCAGCUUAUCAGCUGGUUGGUGAGGUAGUGGCUGACCAAGGCUAUGACGGGUAGCCGGCCUGAGAGGGUGGCCGGCCACAUUGGGACUGAGAUACGGCCCAGACUCCUACGGGAGGCAGCAGUGGGGAAUAUUGCACAAUGGGCGGAAGCCUGAUGCAGCAACGCCGCGUGCGGGAUGACGGCCUUCGGGUUGUAAACCGCUUUCGCCUGUGACGAAGCGUGAGUGACGGUAAUGGGUAAAGAAGCACCGGCUAACUACGUG